Molecule: transfer RNA, 72 nt
Filed under: Ipomoea nil (Japanese morning glory)
Lineage: Eukaryota; Viridiplantae; Streptophyta; Magnoliopsida; Solanales; Convolvulaceae
Rfam family: tRNA
About the family: Transfer RNA (tRNA) molecules are approximately 80 nucleotides in length. Their secondary structure includes four short double-helical elements and three loops (D, anti-codon, and T loops).
Source: Rfam by way of RNAcentral
GCCUUCUCAGCUCAGUGGUAGAGCGUGUGGCUUUUAACCACAUGCUUGUGGGUUUGAUCACCACAGACGGUG